Molecule: ribosomal RNA, 238 nt
Filed under: uncultured bacterium
Lineage: Bacteria
Description: partial 16S ribosomal RNA
Rfam family: Bacterial small subunit ribosomal RNA
Source: RNAcentral
CGUUGUUCGGAAUCACUGGGCUUAAAGGGCGCGUAGGCGGUCUACCAUGUCUGUGGUGAAAUCCUCCAGCUCAACUGGAGAACGGCCGUGGAUACUGGGAGCCUCGAGGGAGAUAGGGGCAGGCGGAACUGAUGGUGGAGCGGUGAAAUGCGUUGAUAUCAUCAGGAACUCCGGUGGCGAAGGCGGCCUGCUGGAUCUCAUCUGACGCUGAGGCGCGAAAGCCAGGGGAGCAAACGGG